AACGAACGCUGGCGGCAGGCUUAACACAUGCAAGUCGAACGCAUCGCAAGAUGAGUGGCAGGCGGGUGAGUAAAGCGUGGGAAAAUACCCUUUUCUACGGAAUUGAGCUGGGAAACUGGAAUUAAUACCGUAUAUGAUAUACGGGGGAAAGAUUGAUCGGGGAAGGAGGGGCGCGAGACGGAUCACAUAGUUGGUGGCGUAAAGGCGUACCAAGGCGACGAUCCAUAGCUGGUCUGAGAGGAUGAGCAGCCACAUUGGGACUGAGAGACGGCCCAAACUCCUACGGGAGGCAGCAGUGGGUGAUAUAGGACAAUGGGCGCAAGCCUGAUCCAGCCAGGCCUGGUGAGUGAUGAAGGCCUUAGAGUUGUAAAGCUCUUUCACCGAUGAAGAUAAUGACGGUAGUCGGAGAAGAAGCCCCGGCUAACUUCGUGCCAGCCGCCGCGGUAA
RNAcentral lists this ribosomal RNA (447 nucleotides) under uncultured bacterium. Its description in RNAcentral is "partial 16S ribosomal RNA". It matches the Rfam family "Bacterial small subunit ribosomal RNA", at positions 29 to 523 of the family's 1533-position model. The record is from RNAcentral.